This 465-nucleotide ribosomal RNA is filed under the name uncultured bacterium. RNAcentral's name for it is "bacterial SSU rRNA". It matches the Rfam family "Bacterial small subunit ribosomal RNA", at positions 917 to 1382 of the family's 1533-position model. The record is from RNAcentral.
GGACCCGCACAAGCGGUGGAUUAUGUGGAUUAAUUCGAUGCAACGCGAAAAACCUUACCUACCCUUGACAUGUCCGAGAGCUCGCUGAGAGGCGGGUGUGCCCGAAAGGGAAUCGGAACACAGGUGCUGCAUGGCUGUCGUCAGCUCGUGUCGUGAGAUGUUGGGUUAAGUCCCGCAACGAGCGCAACCCUUGUCAUUAGUUGCUACAUUCAGUUGGGCACUCUAAUGAGACUGCCGGUGACAAACCGGAGGAAGGUGGGGAUGACGUCAAGUCCUCAUGGCCCUUAUGGGUAGGGCUUCACACGUAAUACAAUGGCGCGUACAGAGGGUUGCCAAGCCGCGAGGUGGAGCCAAUCCCUUAAAGCGCGUCGUAGUCCGGAUAGGAGUCUGCAACUCGACUCCUUGAAGUCGGAAUCGCUAGUAAUCGCGGAUCAGCAUGUCGCGGUGAAUACGUUCCCGGGUCUU